AGGCAGCAGUGGGGAAUAUUGCACAAUGGGCGCAAGCCUGAUGCAGCCAUGCCGCGUGUAUGAAGAAGGCCUUCGGGUUGUAAAGUACUUUCAGCAGUGAGGAAGGUGGAUAUGUUAAUAGCAUAUUCAUUUGACGUUAGCUGCAGAAGAAGCACCGGCUAACUCCGUGCCAGCAGCCGCGGUAAUACGGAGGGUGCGAGCGUUAAUCGGAAUUACUGGGCGUAAAGCGCAUGCAGGUGGUUUGUUAAGUCAGAUGUGAAAGCCCGGGGCUCAACCUCGGAAUUGCAUUUGAAACUGGCAAACUAGAGUACUGUAGAGGGGGUAGAAUUUCAGGUGUAGCGGUGAAAUGCGUAGAGAUCUGAAGGAAUACCGGUGGCGAAGGCGGCCCCCUGGACAGAUACUGACACUCAGAUGCGAAAGCGUGGGGAGCAAACAGGAUUAGAUCCCCUGGUAG
This 454-nucleotide ribosomal RNA is filed under the name uncultured bacterium. RNAcentral describes it as "bacterial SSU rRNA". It matches the Rfam family "Bacterial small subunit ribosomal RNA", at positions 346 to 793 of the family's 1533-position model. The record is from RNAcentral.